Molecule: ribosomal RNA, 167 nt
Filed under: Citrobacter freundii
Lineage: Bacteria; Pseudomonadati; Pseudomonadota; Gammaproteobacteria; Enterobacterales; Enterobacteriaceae
Description: partial 16S ribosomal RNA
Rfam family: Bacterial small subunit ribosomal RNA
Source: RNAcentral
AGUCUACACAUGCAAGUCGAACGGUAGCACAGAGGAGCUUGCUCCUUGGGUGACGAGUGGCGGACGGGUGAGUAAUGUCUGGGAAACUGCCCGAUGGAGGGGGAUAACUACUGGAAACGGUAGCUAAUACCGCAUAACGUCGCAAGACCAAAGAGGGGGACCUUCGG